RNAcentral lists this ribosomal RNA (702 nucleotides) under Bacillus zhangzhouensis. RNAcentral describes it as "bacterial SSU rRNA". It matches the Rfam family "Bacterial small subunit ribosomal RNA", at positions 61 to 746 of the family's 1533-position model. Lineage: Bacteria; Bacillati; Bacillota; Bacilli; Caryophanales; Bacillaceae. The record is from RNAcentral.
GUCGAGCGAACAGAAGGGAGCUUGCUCCCGGAUGUUAGCGGCGGACGGGUGAGUAACACGUGGGUAACCUGCCUGUAAGACUGGGAUAACUCCGGGAAACCGGAGCUAAUACCGGAUAGUUCCUUGAACCGCAUGGUUCAAGGAUGAAAGACGGUUUCGGCUGUCACUUACAGAUGGACCCGCGGCGCAUUAGCUAGUUGGUGGGGUAAUGGCUCACCAAGGCGACGAUGCGUAGCCGACCUGAGAGGGUGAUCGGCCACACUGGGACUGAGACACGGCCCAGACUCCUACGGGAGGCAGCAGUAGGGAAUCUUCCGCAAUGGACGAAAGUCUGACGGAGCAACGCCGCGUGAGUGAUGAAGGUUUUCGGAUCGUAAAGCUCUGUUGUUAGGGAAGAACAAGUGCGAGAGUAACUGCUCGCACCUUGACGGUACCUAACCAGAAAGCCACGGCUAACUACGUGCCAGCAGCCGCGGUAAUACGUAGGUGGCAAGCGUUGUCCGGAAUUAUUGGGCGUAAAGGGCUCGCAGGCGGUUUCUUAAGUCUGAUGUGAAAGCCCCCGGCUCAACCGGGGAGGGUCAUUGGAAACUGGGAAACUUGAGUGCAGAAGAGGAGAGUGGAAUUCCACGUGUAGCGGUGAAAUGCGUAGAGAUGUGGAGGAACACCAGUGGCGAAGGCGACUCUCUGGUCUGUAACUGACGC